UAAUAAUCCACAAGUUUUUGCUAUUUGCUGAGGGAGAUGUGUAUAAUUAAAUAACCAUUUUCUUCUGUGUACGCAGAUACUAUACAAUGGGAAAAUACUAAUAAAAACAUGACUUUGCUUUAUCCAAGUAAUAGUAGUAGUAGUAGUGGUAUAACAAUUAUUAGCAGUAGUAGCAGUAGCGUCAUUAUUAUUAGUAUUAUUAUAGUGGUGGUAUUAUUGUUAGUAGUAAUAGUAUUAUUAUUAGUAGUAGUAGUAUUAAUGGUGGUAUUAUUAUUAUUAACAGUAGUAGUAGAUAUACAUUUUAUUGCAUUUGGCAGACGUCCUUAUCCAGAGCGACUUACAUUUGUCUCAUUUGUACAACUGAGCAAUUGAGGGUUAAGGGCCUUGCACAAGGGCCCAACAGUGGUAGCUUAGCAGUGCUGGGGCUUGAACUCCUGUCCUUCUGAUCAGUACCCAGAGCCUUUAACCACUGAGCCACCACUGCCCCAGUAAUAAUAAUAGUGGUAUUAUUAUUAUUAUUAUUAUU
Molecule: long non-coding RNA, 526 nt
Organism: Ictalurus punctatus (channel catfish)
Lineage: Eukaryota; Metazoa; Chordata; Actinopteri; Siluriformes; Ictaluridae
Source: Ensembl